RNAcentral lists this ribosomal RNA (497 nucleotides) under uncultured bacterium. RNAcentral describes it as "partial 16S ribosomal RNA". It matches the Rfam family "Bacterial small subunit ribosomal RNA", at positions 28 to 507 of the family's 1533-position model. The record is from RNAcentral.
GAUGAACGCUGGCGGCGUGCCUAAUACAUGCAAGUCGAACGAACAGACGAGGAGCUUGCUGCGCGGACGUUAGCGGAGGGCGGGUGUAUAACGCGUGGAUAACCUACCUGUAAUACGGGUAUAACUAGGGAAAACCGGAGCAAAUACCGGAGGAGCUCUUGAACCGCAGGGGGCGAUGGUAAAAUACGGCGUUUGUGUCUGGUAUAGCUGGAUCCGGGCCGCAUUAGCUAGUUGGUAAGGUAAUGGGUUACGAAGGCGACGAGGCGUAGCCGAACUGAGUGAGUGAUCGGCCACCCGGGAACGGGGCCACGGACAAGACUCCUGCGGGAGGCAGCAGUAGGGAAUGUUCCGCAAUGGGCGAAAGCCUUGCGGAGCAACGGCGCGUGAGAGAUGACGGUCUCCGGAGCGUAAAACUCUGUUAUUAGGGAAGAACAAAUGUGUAAGUAACUAUGCACGGCUUGACGGUACCUAAUAAGAAAGCAACGGCUAACUACGUG